RNAcentral lists this ribosomal RNA (149 nucleotides) under Dictyonema sp. R04. RNAcentral describes it as "5.8S ribosomal RNA". It matches the Rfam family "5.8S ribosomal RNA". Rfam says of the family: 5.8S ribosomal RNA (5.8S rRNA) is a component of the large subunit of the eukaryotic ribosome. It is transcribed by RNA polymerase I as part of the 45S precursor that also contains 18S and 28S rRNA. Functionally, it is thought that 5.8S rRNA may be involved in ribosome translocation. The record is from RNAcentral. Lineage: Eukaryota; Fungi; Basidiomycota; Agaricomycetes; Agaricales; Hygrophoraceae.
AACAACGGAUCUCUUGGCUCUCGCAUCGAUGAAGAACGCAGCGAAAUGCGAUAAGUAAUGUGAAUUGCAGAAUUCAGUGAAUCAUCGAAUCUUUGAACGCACCUUGCGCCCCUUGGUAUUCCGAUGGGCAUGUCUGUUUGAGUGUCAUA